RNAcentral lists this ribosomal RNA (577 nucleotides) under Alexandrium ostenfeldii. Its description in RNAcentral is "LSU rRNA". It matches the Rfam family "Eukaryotic large subunit ribosomal RNA", at positions 84 to 664 of the family's 3401-position model. Lineage: Eukaryota; Dinophyceae; Gonyaulacales; Pyrocystaceae. The record is from RNAcentral.
UAAUUGCGAAUGAACAAGGAACUGCUCAGCUUGAAAAUUGGGGCCUUCGGCCUUGAAUUGUAAUUUUGAAAUGUAUUGCCAAUGGAGGCGCAGGUGCAAGCCUAUUGAAAGAAAGCGUCAAUGAGGGUGAGAUUCCUUUUUGUCAUUUGCAGUCCUCCGUGCACGGUAUAUAUUUGACGAGUCACACUCCUCGGCAUUGGAAUGCAAAGUGGGUGGUAAAUUCCAUGUAAAGGAAAAUAUAUUAUUGAGACUGAUAGCAAACAAGUACCAUGAGGGAAAUAUGAAAAGGACUUUGAAAAGAGAAUUAAAAGAGUCUGCAUUUGCUGAACAGAAAGCAAACAGAAUUGAUCUACUUGGUGAGAUUGUUGCGUCCACUUGUGGGCGCAAUGGUUCUUACCUUGAAUGUCAGCGUCUAUUUCUGCAAAUCAUUACCCUUGCACAUGAAUGGUAAUUUGCCUGUGGGUAUUGGAAUGCAUGUGUUUGCAAUGAUUUGUGAUUUGAUACGUGUGUCUGGUGUUCUUGUGUGUGCCUUCUUGCCAAAAGGGGAGGGCUCUCCUCCCUGGGCACUGCAAGCCCU